This is a long non-coding RNA of Pyrus x bretschneideri (Chinese white pear), 1178 nucleotides long. RefSeq lists it as uncharacterized. The transcript is spliced from 2 exons. The record is from RefSeq and is a predicted model, not a curated record. Lineage: Eukaryota; Viridiplantae; Streptophyta; Magnoliopsida; Rosales; Rosaceae.
ACCACGGGUACCCGAACCAGCCCGUUUGUAGUUGAAAUGGAUGGACAAGAUUGAAGAGAUCAUCUCUCCAUCCAAUCUUAACCGUUAGUUUUAGGUUUCCUUGUCCUCGACCUCAACUCUGUCACUCAAGUCCUUGAACUCGAUUCCGUCUCCCAUAGUCUCUCUCCAAAGCCAGUGCCUUAUUAGCAACCCAAUCGACAAUUGAUGGCGCUACGAGGACUGGAGCAACAACCCAAUCUCACUAGUCACCCCUCUCAAGUCUCACCAGUCACUGUCACUACAACCAAAAACCAAAUCUUUCUCUUUCUCUCUCUCGAACCCUUUCGAGUUUUUAAAGCACCGUCAUCAUUGAGACCAUCGUUAUCACCAUCACCAACCAUGUCGUCGUCAUCGAAGAAGAUCACCCUCAAGAGCUCGGACGGCGAGUCGUUCGAGAUUGAGCAGGCGAUGGCGCUGGAGUCGCCUACCAUCAAGCACAUGAUUGAGGAUGAUUGCGCCAAUAACUACAUGUUGACGCCACGAAGCCCGACAAGAAGAUCUCCGAGGAUGAUCUCAAGGCCUUGGAUCAUAAUUUGGUUUGAUUCUAGGGUUUCAGAAUUUGGGGAUUCGGUUGGGUUAAGGUUUUUUUGAUUUAGGGAUUGGGGUCUAUUGUGUUGUUUCAGGGCCUAAGGUUACUGAUUUUGGGGUUUUCUAUAAUGGUGGAUUAAAUUUGAAUGGCGAGCAGGUAUUGGGUGGUGUCUUUGCUGAUUCAAAACUCGGCGUCGUCUCUAUGGACCUCCAAAACUAAUGUAAGGUGAAUGAUUACUGAUCUGGAGAGUUGGCGGUGGAGAUGAGCAGUUGCAGGCCUCUUCGUGUUUGAUUUCGAGCGACGCAGCCACAGGUGGUGGUGGGAGCUGCUCUUCUAGUUUAGGACACCGAUUGGACUCAGCCUCAGGGACUAAUGCUACAGCAUCCGCUGCCACAACACAAAACGGUUGCUCAAAAGGCAAGAAAGUGGUGGUCCGGUUAGGACUCGUGGACCUGGCCCGUUUCAAAUGGGCCGAGUUAGGUCCGGUUCCAACGAUCGUAUUUGUAAUAUCCAACCCGACUCGUGGCCACCCCUAGUUUGUAGUUUAGGCUCUCUUACAGCAUGCUUAGUGCUAGAAAUCAAAAUAAGAAAGGUUAAUCUUAGUUUACUA